Fukomys damarensis (Damara mole-rat) is the source of this 2029-nucleotide long non-coding RNA. RefSeq lists it as uncharacterized. The record is from RefSeq and is a predicted model, not a curated record. NCBI's taxonomy places the organism in Eukaryota, Metazoa, Chordata, Mammalia, Rodentia, Bathyergidae. The transcript is spliced from 6 exons.
UGCCGCUUGCGGCUUCCUCUGGCUCGUUGUUUGGCUUGCCUUUGGGGGGGCAACAAUGGGGAGUCUCUGGGGCGUGCCAGCGGAGGAGGAAGUCAGGUGAGAGGCCUCGAAGCACCCCACACACCCUAGCCUGCGUGGGGUGUACACUCUCCACUAGCGACGAGUGAACCAAUUUUUUUUUUCUCUUCAGUGUUCAGUCGAGACGAUCUUUUCCUAGAGGGCCUAGUUCCCUUCACCCUGGACUAUUUUCCCUUCAUCCCAUCAGCGUCCCUUUCAGCCCCCUACCCAGGAGUUCUGCACCCCAGCUGAGCCGCACGUGGGGGACGGAGAACGAGGGGGCCUCCUUUGCCGACCCCUAAUCUGUGCCCGAGCCUAUUUGUUUCAGUAUUUAUCCUCAUGACAGCAGCUGUACUUUUCAGCCCACUGGAACGAGACGCCUACGCUGAUGUCCAAUUUUUCCCCAAAAAAGCUGGGGGCUGAGCGGGCAAGAGAUACCGGUUUCAUUAACAGCGGACUCGGGAGGUCUCAGCCUAGUGGAACAGUCACCAUCUUGGAUCUUUCAUGAGCAGUUGCAAAAACCAAGAUUAAAAAAACUAAAACAUUGAGAGGUCAAAUCGCUUGCUCAAGAUGAUUUAGCUUGUGAGUAAAGGAACAAGGAUUUGAACUGGGCUCUCUGGCUCCCUUCGUGUUGACCUGCUCCAGGCUUUGGAAACAGUCUAAAAUAGCUAGCAGCUCUACCCUUAAAAACAUUAUACCUUAAAAAGGAGUAGAGUACCCUGAGCAACAGCAGGCAGGAGCCAGACUGUCUGUGCUGUCACCUACUAGGAUGUCACGGGUCUCUGUCCUGUUGAGUUGAGCUGCAGAACUCUCCUGUGAAUUCUCCUAGCCUCGCUGUAACAGCCCUAAUCCCCUUGAGUGAGGGUGUAUGUCUCCAGAAAAUACAGGUGGCCAUAUACACCAGAAGUAGAUGAAAGUAAACUAAAAGCCUCCUCUCUCUUUCAUGUCUGAAAAUGGGUCAGUGUUCACAUAGCCGCAUGUCCUUCUGCAUGGGGGGUAAUAGCCAGGAAGAAAAUACUUGAACACGGAAGACUGAAGUUGCUACAAGACAGUGCUGCCUAAACUUUGAUUUGCAUUUGCACCCCUGGAGGAUCUUAUGUCAAGGCAGAUUCAGAUUCAGAAAGUUUGGGACAGGUCCCAAUAUUUUGAUUUUUCUAACAAGAUGAUGCCAGGCUGCUGUUCUGCGAAUGGCAGGUGUUUAGAGCCCUUCCUAAGGCACCUCCUCUCCCCUCUGUGCAGUCAGCAAAAGGAAAGCACUUCCUGGCCAGAGACCUAAAAAAGAAAGAAAGAAAGAGAAAAGAAAUAAACAGUGUGUACAGUAUGUACUCGGAUGAGACUAGAAACAAAAUGAACAUGUUAACAAAGAAGAAACACAUUAAUCAAAACCUGAUUAAUUCACAUUGAUUAUUCACAUUGAGAUGGAACGGAGUGAAAGGUGGGCUACCCAGGCAUUCAGGGUCUAGGUGCAGCUGCUUUCAAAGUUUAGUUUUAAAUUGUAACAAGAAUCACUAUAUCUAGUUAUAUCCUUCCCUAGAGAGGAAAAUUCAAGUUUCUAUAAAGGAGGAACUAUGCUCUCAGAAUUCCUGAGUUGUAGAGUGUUAAUUUAUAUGAAUCUGUACCUUACUCCAAAAGUUUCUAAUGGUUAUGGUUUCUGGGAAAUAAUACAUCAUUUUUUCAGUGGAUAUUCUUGAUCUAUAAAACAAAAAACUUCCAAAAAUUGCAACUAGAAAAGCAUUUUACAGCAUGCAUUUUUAGAGAAAUUGUCUUAGCAUCUAAGCUGCGCAUUGUUUUUGUAGAAACCCUAGUCUUGCUCCCUGGCAAGCUCUGUAGACAGAUAGGCAACACUGGCAAUCCUAUAUGUGAUUUAUUAAUAUGUGAUGGUCUUGACCAAGUAGACCUGAUUUUGCUAACUACUUAUUAGUUUUUUGUGGGGAGGGGUUUGAGACAAGGUCUCACCAUGUUGUUGAGACUG